AUCUAAUGGUGAGGGCAGUUGACACGCAGCUAUUUGAACCGCUUCCAGUAUUCAUAGAGAAUUUCUCCAUUGGCCUGCCUAACUCCACAUAUCUCCUUUCUGAUGUU
Molecule: small nucleolar RNA, 107 nt
Organism: Coffea arabica (coffee)
Lineage: Eukaryota; Viridiplantae; Streptophyta; Magnoliopsida; Gentianales; Rubiaceae
Source: RefSeq, a predicted model, not a curated record